Molecule: long non-coding RNA, 820 nt
Organism: Poecilia latipinna (sailfin molly)
Lineage: Eukaryota; Metazoa; Chordata; Actinopteri; Cyprinodontiformes; Poeciliidae
Exons: 2
Source: RefSeq, a predicted model, not a curated record
CCGGGGCAUAUUGUUUCCCCUGAAUGUGUGCUGCUGCGCCCUCUUCCUCUUGCCCAUAUAUGGAAGAUGCUGUGACAGAGCGCAGCUGGCUUGUUAGGGAGACAGGUGAUCAGCAUUUGCAUUUAAAAGCAGGUAGAUCGCUGAGAUGAUCAGAUGCAGGCUGAGAACUUGUGCACAGGAAACGCACUUUAGAGAGUGACGUCAAGAGCAACAUUUACUGGUUUCACUGUAGAGAAGGUAAGGGCCGUUUCUUAUGAUUCAUCUGGCUGGUUAAUGUUCUUGUCUAACUUGAUUUCUUUUGUGUGUAGGUUGGCCUGCUACUGUUUCAGUUUUUGAUUUGUUUUGAUUUCAAUUUUUCUUUUGUUUCAGUUUACUUAUUUUUAGAUGUUUAUUGUUGAUUAAAAAUAACUUUUCUUUUUUUGGGGGGUUUGUUUAGGGAAAGGGACUUUCUAUUUUAGCCCGCUGACUUGUUUUAAACUGGGACCUAUGCUGUCCCUGGGUCCUAGGCUGUUUUAUUUAGAUUGAGGAGACUAGUGGAAGGGGAGUUUCUUUGUUUCUUUUCCUUUGUAUUCACUAGGGAUUUUUGUGUGAGUGUGCUUUUGUUGGGGAGCACUUAGGUGUAUUUGGUUAUACUUUUGUUUUCUUAUUAUUCCUCCCCCAAACAGUCAAAAUUUUAUCUAGUUUUUAAUUUUUCAGCUUUAAGGAUCCCAGGGCCAGCAUAGACUUCCGCCUUUAGUGUGGUCAUUUGGUAUAAUAAAAUAAGUUGACUAUUAUUGCACAUGAAACAUUUGUGAAUUCAAUAAACUGUUUGUAAUCUGCA